Molecule: non-coding RNA, 164 nt
Filed under: chicken gut metagenome
Description: Lysine riboswitch
Rfam family: Lysine riboswitch aptamer
About the family: Riboswitches are metabolite binding domains within certain messenger RNAs that serve as precision sensors for their corresponding targets.
Source: RNAcentral
CGUCAGAGGUGCGGUCUUAAAGAGUAGAUGUGCGGAGAUUUCCUGGUCGCCGAUGCACAUUGAAAGGUAUGACUGCCGAAGGGGACAGCUCCAGGAAGAGCUGCCGGCCUGGUUCUUCGUCAAAAAGGCGUGGGACUGUCGUCAUGGAUUGUGAUGGAGAGCUG